GAAUAUUGGACAAUGGGGGGAACCCUGAUCCAGCCAUGCCGCGUGUGUGAAGAAGGCCUUUUGGUUGUAAAGCACUUUAAGCGAGGAGGAGGCUACUCUAGUUAAUACCUAGAGAUAGUGGACGUUACUCGCAGAAUAAGCACCGGCUAACUCUGUGCCAGCACCGGCGGUAAUACAGAGGGUGCAAGCGUUAAUCGGAUUUACUGGGCGUAAAGCGCGCGUAGGUGGUCAAUUAAGUCCAAUGUGAAAUCCCCGAGCUUACCUUGGGAAUUGCAUUCGAUACCGGUUGGCUAGAGUAUGGGAGAGGAUGGUAGAAUUCCAGGUGUAGCGGUGAAAUGCGUAGAGAUCUGGAGGAAUACCGAUGGCGAAGGCAGCCAUCUGGUCUAAUACUGACACUGAGGUGCGAAAGCAUGGGGAGCAAACA
This 424-nucleotide ribosomal RNA is filed under the name uncultured bacterium. Its description in RNAcentral is "bacterial SSU rRNA". It matches the Rfam family "Bacterial small subunit ribosomal RNA", at positions 359 to 774 of the family's 1533-position model. The record is from RNAcentral.